Molecule: transfer RNA, 92 nt
Filed under: Viviania marifolia
Lineage: Eukaryota; Viridiplantae; Streptophyta; Magnoliopsida; Geraniales; Francoaceae
Description: tRNA-Ser
Rfam family: tRNA
About the family: Transfer RNA (tRNA) molecules are approximately 80 nucleotides in length. Their secondary structure includes four short double-helical elements and three loops (D, anti-codon, and T loops).
Source: RNAcentral
GGAGAGAUGGCCGAGUGGUUGAUAGCUCCGGUCUUGAAAACCGGUAUAGUUUGGACAAAGAACUAUCGAGGGUUCGAAUCCCUCUCUCUCCU